Molecule: ribosomal RNA, 758 nt
Filed under: Vibrio harveyi
Lineage: Bacteria; Pseudomonadati; Pseudomonadota; Gammaproteobacteria; Vibrionales; Vibrionaceae
Description: bacterial SSU rRNA
Rfam family: Bacterial small subunit ribosomal RNA (bases 1-470)
Source: RNAcentral
GUUGUGAAAUGUUGGGUUAAGUCCCGCAACGAGCGCAACCCUUAUCCUUGUUUGCCAGCGAGUAAUGUCGGGAACUCCAGGGAGACUGCCGGUGAUAAACCGGAGGAAGGUGGGGACGACGUCAAGUCAUCAUGGCCCUUACGAGUAGGGCUACACACGUGCUACAAUGGCGCAUACAGAGGGCGGCCAACUUGCGAGAGUGAGCGAAUCCCAAAAAGUGCGUCGUAGUCCGGAUCGGAGUCUGCAACUCGACUCCGUGAAGUCGGAAUCGCUAGUAAUCGUGGAUCAGAAUGCCACGGUGAAUACGUUCCCGGGCCUUGUACACACCGCCCGUCACACCAUGGGAGUGGGCUGCAAAAGAAGUAGGUAGUUUAACCUUCGGGAGGACGCUUACCACUUUGUGGUUCAUGACUGGGGUGAAGUCGUAACAAGGUAGCGCUAGGGGAAUUUGAUCAUGGCUCAGAUUGAACGCUGGCGGCAGGCCUAACACAUGCAAGUCGAGCGGAAACGAGUUAUCUGAACCUUCGGGGAACGAUAACGGCGUCGAGCGGCGGACGGGAGAGUAAUGCCUAGGAAAUUGCCCUGAUGUGGGGGAUAACCAUUGGAAACGAUGGCUAAUACCGCAUAACGCCUACGGGCCAAAGAGGGGGACCUUCGGGGCUCUCGCGUCAGGAUAUGCCUAGGUGGGAUUAGCUAGUUGGUGAGGUAAGGGCUCACCAAGGCGACGAUCCCUAGCUGGUCUGAGAGGAUGAUCAGCC